Molecule: ribosomal RNA, 465 nt
Filed under: uncultured bacterium
Lineage: Bacteria
Description: partial 16S ribosomal RNA
Rfam family: Bacterial small subunit ribosomal RNA
Source: RNAcentral
CCUACGGGAGGCAGCAGUAGGGAAUAUUGCGCAAUGGACGAAAGCCUGACGGAGCGACGCCGCGUGAGGGAUGAAGGUCUUCGGAUCGUAAACCUCUGUCAGCAGAGAAGAACGAUCACUGUACUAAUCAGACGUGACUUGACGGUAUCUGCCAAGGAAGCCACGGCUAACUCCGUGCCAGCAGCCGCGGUAAUACGGAGGGUGCGAGCGUUAAUCGGAAUUACUGGGCGUAAAGCGAUCGUAGGCGGUAUCUCAAGUCAAGGGUGAAAGCCCCGCGCUCAACGGGGGAACGGCCUUUGAAACUGGCAAACUGGAGUGUUGGAGAGGAGAGUGGAAUUCCAGGUGUAGGGGUGAAAUCCGUAGAUAUAUGGAGGAACAUCAGUGGCGAAGGCGACUAUCUGGCACAUAACUGACGCUGAGGAGCGAAAGCGUGGGUAGCAAACAGGAUUAGAUACCCUUGUAGUC